CGCCUUGCCAGCCCGCUCAGAAACUUAAAGGAAUUGAGGGGGCCCGCACAAGCGCGGAGCAUGUGGAUUAAUUCGAUGCAACGCGAAGAACCUUACCUGGGUUUGACAUACACCGGAAAACCGUAGAGAUACGGUCCCCCUUGUGGUCGGUGUACAGGUGGUGCAUGGCUGUCGUCAGCUCGUGUCGUGAGAUGUUGGGUUAAGUCCCGCAACGAGCGCAACCCUUGUCUUAUGUUGCCAGCACGUGAUGGUGGGGACUCGUAAGAGACUGCCGGGGUCAACUCGGAGGAAGGUGGGGACGACGUCAAGUCAUCAUGCCCCUUAUGUCCAGGGCUUCACACAUGCUACAAUGGCCAGUACAGAGGGCUGCGAGACCGUGAGGUGGAGCGAAUCCCUUAAAGCUGGUCUCAGUUCGGAUCGGGGUCUGCAACUCGACUGCGUGAAGUCGGAAUCGCUAGUAAUCGUGAAUCAGAAUGUCACGGUGAAUACGUUCCCGGGCCUU
This 502-nucleotide ribosomal RNA is filed under the name uncultured Rhodococcus sp. RNAcentral describes it as "bacterial SSU rRNA". It matches the Rfam family "Bacterial small subunit ribosomal RNA", at positions 903 to 1382 of the family's 1533-position model. The record is from RNAcentral. Lineage: Bacteria; Bacillati; Actinomycetota; Actinomycetes; Mycobacteriales; Nocardiaceae.